This 66-nucleotide transfer RNA is filed under the name Ornithodoros parkeri. Its description in RNAcentral is "tRNA-Gln". Lineage: Eukaryota; Metazoa; Arthropoda; Arachnida; Ixodida; Argasidae. The record is from RNAcentral.
GUUUUUGGUGUUAAAGGCACAUUAAAUUUUGAUUUUAAAGGAGAUGAUUCAGUUUAUCAAAACUAA